AGUAACGACGUGAGGAACCUGCCUUCCAGAGGGGGACGAACAGUUGGAAACGAACUGCUAAUACCGCAUGAUGUGUUUCGUAUGGCAUCAUCGAGACACCAAAGAUUUAUCGCUGGAAGAUGGCCUCGCGUCUGAUUAGCUAGUAGGCGGGGUAACAGCCCACCAAGGCGACGAUCAGUAGCCGGCCUGAGAGGGUGAACGGCCACAUUGGGACUGAGACACGGCCCAAACUCCUACGGGAGGCAGCAG
RNAcentral lists this ribosomal RNA (249 nucleotides) under uncultured bacterium. Its description in RNAcentral is "partial 16S ribosomal RNA". It matches the Rfam family "Bacterial small subunit ribosomal RNA", at positions 109 to 354 of the family's 1533-position model. The record is from RNAcentral.